This 496-nucleotide ribosomal RNA is filed under the name uncultured bacterium. RNAcentral's name for it is "partial 16S ribosomal RNA". It matches the Rfam family "Bacterial small subunit ribosomal RNA", at positions 28 to 506 of the family's 1533-position model. The record is from RNAcentral.
GAUGAACGCUGGCGGCGUGCCUAAUACAUGCAAGUCGAGCGAACAGAUGAGGAGCUUGCUCCUCUGACGUUAGCGGCGGACGGGUGAGUAACACGUGGAUAACCUACCUAUAAGACUGGGAUAACUUCGGGAAACCGGAGCUAAUACCGGAUAAUAUAUUGAACCGCAUGGUUCAAUAGUGAAAGACGGUUUUGCUGUCACUUAUAGAUGGAUCCGCGCCGCAUUAGCUAGUUGGUAAGGUAACGGCUUACCAAGGCAACGAUGCGUAGCCGACCUGAGAGGGUGAUCGGCCACACUGGAACUGAGACACGGUCCAGACUCCUACGGGAGGCAGCAGGAGGGAAUCUUCCGCAAUGGGCGAAAGCCUGACGGAGCAACGCCGCGUGAGUGAUGAAGGUCUUCGGAUCGUAAAACUCUGUUAUUAGGGAAGAACAAAUGUGUAAGUAACUAUGCACGUCUUGACGGUACCGAAUCAGAAAGCCACGGCUAACUACGU